Molecule: ribosomal RNA, 490 nt
Filed under: uncultured bacterium
Lineage: Bacteria
Description: partial 16S ribosomal RNA
Rfam family: Bacterial small subunit ribosomal RNA
Source: RNAcentral
AUUGAACGCUGGCGGCAGGCCUAACACAUGCAAGUCGAACGGUAACAGGAAGAAGCUUGCUUCUUUGCUGACGAGUGGCGGACGGGUGAGUAAUGUCUGGGAAACUGCCUGAUGGAGGGGGAUAACUACUGGAAACGGUAGCUAAUACCGCAUAACGUCGCAAGACCAAAGAGGGGGACCUUCGGGCCUCUUGCCAUCGGAUGUGCCCAGAUGGGAUUAGCUAGUAGGUGGGGUAACGGCUCACCUCGGCGACGAUCCCUAGCUGGUCUGAGAGGAUGACCAGCCACACUGGAACUGAGACACGGUCCAGACUCCUACGGGAGGCAGCAGUGGGGAAUAUUGCACAAUGGGCGCAAGCCUGAUGCAGCCAUGCCGCGUGUAUGAAGAAGGCCUUCGGGUUGUAAAGUACUUUCAGCGGGGAGGAAGGGAGUAAAGUUAAUACCUUUGCUCAUUGACGUUACCCGCAGAAGAAGCACCGGCUAACUCCGUG